Long non-coding RNA from Mastomys coucha (southern multimammate mouse), 470 nucleotides. RefSeq lists it as uncharacterized. The record is from RefSeq and is a predicted model, not a curated record. The transcript has 2 exons. NCBI's taxonomy places the organism in Eukaryota, Metazoa, Chordata, Mammalia, Rodentia, Muridae.
CAAUCACAGGUGGAAGUUGGCUUUGAAAGCUAGUUUAGAGCUCACUCUUUCAUGUAUCUAAUAUUGUUUUUUCUGCAUUAACUGCUGAUUAGAGUGUGGUGACAUAGCAAUAAGAUCUCUAAAGAUAUGAGCUGCCCUUUCAUAAGAAUGAUAUGCAAGUUGACGUAGAAGUUAUGAUCUUCUAAGAACCAGGUGGAGUCUUCUGGGAGCAUAUACCUCUACACCUCUACAUCAGGAUUGAUUUGUCUCCAUGUAAAAAGGAAAAUAUAAUAUAGAGACACCAGAGACAUAUGCAAAGAGAAGUAACCACUAGAAAUGGAAGCAAGAAGACAGGUGUCUGAAAGGCAAGGAGAGAAACUUAAUAGAUAAUUAAAUUUAAAGAACACAGACCUCCAGCUUCAAAAACUGUCAGAAAAAUAACUUCUGUAACUUUAACUCCUGUCAUGUGAUGUUUAAUUAAAACAUCCUUA